This 253-nucleotide ribosomal RNA is filed under the name uncultured bacterium. RNAcentral describes it as "partial 16S ribosomal RNA". It matches the Rfam family "Bacterial small subunit ribosomal RNA", at positions 524 to 776 of the family's 1533-position model. The record is from RNAcentral.
UACAGAGGGUGCGAGCGUUAAUCGGAAUUACUGGGCGUAAAGGGCGCGUAGGCGGUUAUUUAAGUUAGAUGUGAAAUCCCUGGGCUUAACCUAGGAACUGCAUCUGAUACUGGAUAACUGGAGUGUAGUAGAGGGUAGUGGAAUUUCCGGUGUAGCGGUGAAAUGCGUAGAUAUCGGAAGGAACACCAGUGGCGAAGGCGGCUACCUGGACUAACACUGACGCUGAGGCGCGAAAGCGUGGGGAUCAAACAGG